Molecule: ribosomal RNA, 368 nt
Filed under: uncultured organism
Description: bacterial SSU rRNA
Rfam family: Bacterial small subunit ribosomal RNA
Source: RNAcentral
CGGAGGGUGCAAGCGUUAUCCGGAUUCACUGGGUUUAAAGGGUGCGUAGGUGGGCAAGUAAGUCAGUGGUGAAAUCUCCGGGCUUAACCCGGAAACUGCCAUUGAUACUAUUUGUCUUGAAUACUGUGGAGGUCAGCGGAAUAUGUCAUGUAGCGGUGAAAUGCUUAGAUAUGACAUAGAACACCAAUUGCGAAGGCAGCUGGCUACACAAAUAUUGACACUGAGGCACGAAAGCGUGGGGAUCAAACAGGAUUAGAUACCCUGGUAGUCCACGCCCUAAACGAUGGAUACUCGACAUCAGCGAUACACUGUUGGUGUCUGAGCGAAAGCAUUAAGUAUCCCACCUGGGAAGUACGAUCGCAAGAUUG